RNAcentral lists this ribosomal RNA (366 nucleotides) under uncultured eukaryote. RNAcentral describes it as "partial 18S ribosomal RNA". It matches the Rfam family "Eukaryotic small subunit ribosomal RNA", at positions 592 to 976 of the family's 1831-position model. The record is from RNAcentral.
CAAUAGCGUAUAUUAACGUUGUUGCAGUUAAAAAGCUCGUAGUUGGAUUUCUGGAGGGAGCGUCGGCCCGUAUUUACGAGUGCGUGACGUCUCUGUCCAUCCUUGCGGGAAGGCACGGCAUUGAUUUGUUGUGUCGGAUCGCAUCAUUUACUGUGAAAAAAUUAGAGUGUUCAAAGCAGGCUUUCGCUUGAAUACAUUAGCAUGGAAUAAUAAGAUAGGACUUUGGUACUAUUUUGUUGGUUGAGCCUAAAGUAAUGAUUAAUAGGGAUAGUUGGGGGCACCUGUAUUGCGUUGUCAGAGGUGAAAUUCUUGGAUUUACGCAAGACAAACAGCUGCGAAAGCGUCUGCCAAGGAUGUUUUCAUUAA